This 756-nucleotide ribosomal RNA is filed under the name Triticum aestivum (bread wheat). Its description in RNAcentral is "partial small subunit ribosomal RNA". Lineage: Eukaryota; Viridiplantae; Streptophyta; Magnoliopsida; Poales; Poaceae. The record is from RNAcentral.
AUGACCUCGAAACCCACCCUACAGUACGGCGGGUCCUCCGGUGCCGCCGGCCCCUACGCUGGCCUCGACGAGCAGCCGUUCCAUCGGGGGCCCCCUGUGUCCACCGAACCGGCGCCGCCCCCCUCAUUGCUCCGCACCGACACGCCAUACUCCCACGGCGGUCAUACUCAUACACCGCCGCGUUUCGCCAAGCUCGACUUCGCCACUUACGACGGCACCGAGGAUCCCCUCAACUGGCUGAACCAAUGUGAGCAGUUUUUCCGGGGGCAACGUACACUCGCGUCGGACCGCACCUGGCUCGCCUCAUAUCACCUUCGGAGCGCCGCACAGACAUCGUAUUACGCCCUCGAGCAGGACGAGGGCGGCAUGCCCCCAUGGGAGCAAUUUCGCGAGCUCUGCCUCCUUCGCUUCGGGCCGCCAAUGCGCGGGAGCCGGCUGGCGGAGCUAGGCCGCCUCCCCUUCACCUUCACGGUGCAGCACUUCGCCGACCGCUUCCAGGCCCUGGCGUGCCAUGCGCCCGGCUUGACGGCUCGUCAGCGGGCCGUGCUCUUCGUCGGCGGUCUACCAGAUCAUAUCCUUGUGGACAUGGAGCUUCGGGGACCCCAGGACCUCCAGACGGCGAUGUACUACGCCCGCGCCUUCGAGCGUCGCACGCAGGCCUUGCAGCAGGCGGCACCGUCUCGGUGGGGGCCGCCACCGGCGCCGCUUAGCGCUACAGCCGACGGGAGGGGAGCAACUCCGGGUCACCGUGGCUAA